GUUGUGCGCUAAUUGCUGAUGAUACGGUGCAUACAUUCUUAUGGUUGAUGCGGACAUGGUGCCUAGCAAUGGGUGGACAAGGUCCAAGAAUUUUGUUAUCUGAUCAAAAUGACAACAUCAAAGCAGCUGUUGGAGCAAUCUUGACAAACACCCAACACUACUUCAGCCUGUGGAGUAUAUUGGAGAAGAUCCCAAGCCGUCUUGAUUAUCUCAGCAUGUGGCAUGAAACAUUUAUGGCAAAGUUUAGGAAGUGCAUA
Molecule: unclassified non-coding RNA, 257 nt
Filed under: Hevea brasiliensis (rubber tree)
Lineage: Eukaryota; Viridiplantae; Streptophyta; Magnoliopsida; Malpighiales; Euphorbiaceae
Source: RNAcentral